UAGGGAAUCUUCGGCAAUGGGGGGAACCCUGACCGAGCAACGCCGCGUGAGUGAAGAAGGUUUUCGGAUCGUAAAGCUCUGUUGUUAAGGAAGAACGAGUGUGAGAAUGGAAAGUUCAUACUGUGACGGUACUUAACCAGAAAGGGACGGCUAACUACGUGCCAGCAGCCGCGGUAAUACGUAGGUCCCGAGCGUUGUCCGGAUUUAUUGGGCGUAAAGCGAGCGCAGGCGGUUAGAUAAGUCUGAAGUUAAAGGCAGUGGCUCAACCAUUGUAGGCUUUGGAAACUGUUUAACUUGAGUGCAGAAGGGGAGAGUGGAAUUCCAUGUGUAGCGAUGAAAUGCGUAGAUAGAUGGAGGAACACCGGUGGCGAAAGCGGCUCUCUGGUCUGUAACUGACGCUGAGGCUCGAAAGCGUGGGGAGCGAACAGG
This 429-nucleotide ribosomal RNA is filed under the name Bacteroidota bacterium. RNAcentral describes it as "Bacteroidetes bacterium partial 16S ribosomal RNA". It matches the Rfam family "Bacterial small subunit ribosomal RNA", at positions 355 to 776 of the family's 1533-position model. The record is from RNAcentral. Lineage: Bacteria; Pseudomonadati; Bacteroidota.